Molecule: ribosomal RNA, 520 nt
Filed under: uncultured Glomus
Lineage: Eukaryota; Fungi; Glomeromycota; Glomeromycetes; Glomerales; Glomeraceae
Description: SSU rRNA
Rfam family: Eukaryotic small subunit ribosomal RNA
Source: RNAcentral
AGCAGCCGCGGUAAUUCCAGCUCCAAUAGCGUAUAUUAAAGUUGUUGCAGUUAAAAAGCUCGUAGUUGAAUUUCGGGGUUAGUAGGUUGGUCAUGCCUCUGGUAUGUACUGGUCUCACUGAUUCCUCCUUCCUGAUGAGCCGUAAUGCCAUUAAUUUGGUGUUGCGGGGAAUUUGGACUGUUACUUUGAAAAAAUUAGAGUGUUUAAAGCAAGCUAACGCUUGAAUACAUUAGCAUGGAAUAAUGAAAUAGGACGUUCGAUCCUAUUUUGUUGGUUUCUAGGAUUGACGUAAUGAUUAAUAGGGAUAGUUGGGGGCAUUAGUAUUCAAUUGUCAGAGGUGAAAUUCUUGGAUUUAUUGAAGACUAACUACUGCGAAAGUAUUUGCCAAGGAUGUUUUCAUUAAUCAAGAACGAAAGUUAGGGGAUCGAAGACGAUCAGAUACCGUCGUAGUCUUAACCAUAAACUAUGCCGACUAGGGAUCGGAUGAUGUUAAUUUUUAAUGUACUCAUUCGGCGUCCUU